GGGGGGCGUGCUACACAUGCAGUCCGACGUGAAAGGGGAGCAAUCCCCCGGUAGGGUGGCAAACGGGUGAGUAAGACAUGGGUGAUCUGCCCUGGAGAUGGGGAUAUCCCUCCGAAAGGGGGGGCAAUACCGAAUAGUAUCCGGUUCCGUGAAGGGGGCCGGGGAAAGGGAGGCCUCUGGUACAAGCUUCCGCUCCUGGAUGAGCCCAUGGCCCAUCAGCUAGUUGGUAGGGUAAAGGCCUACCAAGGCGACGACGGGUAGCUGGUCUGAGAGGACAACCAGCCACACUGGCACUGAGACACGGGCCAGACUCCUACGGGAGGCAGCAGUGAGGAAUAUUGCGCAAUGGGGGCAACCCUGACGCAGCAACGCCGCGUGUGGGAAGAAGGCUUUCGGGUUGUAAACCACUUUUGCCCGGGACGAAAGGGGGGGCCUGAAUAAGGUCACCCGAUGACGGUACCGGGAGAAUAAGCCACGGCUAACUCUGUGCCAGCAGCCGCGGUAAGACAGAGGUGGCAAGCGUUGUUCGGAGUUACUGGGCGUAAAGAGUCUGUAGGUGGUCUGUCAAGUCUUUGGUGAAAGGCCGUGGCUUAACCAUGGGAAUGCCAAAGAGACUGGCAGACUGGAGGCUGGGAGAGGGAAGCGGAAUUUCUGGUGUAGCGGUGAAAUGCGUAGAGAUCUGGAGGAACAUCAGUGGCGAAGGCGGCCACCUGGCCCAAUACUGACGCUGAGGCACGAAAGCGUGGGGAGCAAACAGGAUUAGAUACCCU
Molecule: ribosomal RNA, 770 nt
Filed under: uncultured Leptospirillum sp.
Lineage: Bacteria; Pseudomonadati; Nitrospirota; Nitrospiria; Nitrospirales; Nitrospiraceae
Description: bacterial SSU rRNA
Rfam family: Bacterial small subunit ribosomal RNA
Source: RNAcentral